This 71-nucleotide transfer RNA is filed under the name Muribaculaceae bacterium. Its description in RNAcentral is "tRNA-Gln". It matches the Rfam family "tRNA". From Rfam's summary of the family: Transfer RNA (tRNA) molecules are approximately 80 nucleotides in length. Their secondary structure includes four short double-helical elements and three loops (D, anti-codon, and T loops). The record is from RNAcentral. Lineage: Bacteria; Pseudomonadati; Bacteroidota; Bacteroidia; Bacteroidales; Muribaculaceae.
UGCCUUAUGGUGUAAUGGUAGCACACCGGAUUCUGGUUCCGUUUGUGAGAGUUCGAGUCUUUCUAAGGCAA